Molecule: long non-coding RNA, 1716 nt
Filed under: Brassica rapa (field mustard)
Lineage: Eukaryota; Viridiplantae; Streptophyta; Magnoliopsida; Brassicales; Brassicaceae
Description: long non-coding RNA (BRAP_LNC002047)
Source: RNAcentral
GGGUCUUUGAUUGGUUAGGAUUGUUUCUGUUAGGAUUGUUUUGUGAAAUUUUAGGUAGGAUUUUGUCAUAGUCUUGUUUCAGUUACUGAUGUUUGUUAUCAUCUUAGGUUUGGUAUUGACCCAUGUAUCCAUGCUUUCAUCCGUGCAACUUGGCAAGGAUACUACAUGGGUCCUUGGAAGAGUUGGAAUAAGGUGCCUGAGGAAAGGAAGGAUUCCUGGUGGCAAACGUUUGUGGUAAUCAAAAAUUUCAUUUUUUUUUAAAUCUCUUACUGUUAUUAUUUCCUGUUUCUAAACCUCUUACUGUUUUGUUUUUUGUUGUAGCAAAAUUUCUACUGGGAGCCUCAAUUUAAUGAUUUGGUCUACGGUCUGUGGAAGAAGGAAACGAUGACAACCGUUGGUGAAAGGAUUAGUAAGAAGAAGAGGCAACACAAGAAGCCAAAGUACAUCAAUGAUAGCGACUGGACACUGCUUCUGGAGUAUUGGGCGACUGAUGAAGCUAAAAAGAAAAGCAAGAAGGCUGCUAAAAGCCGCAAGGCUGAUCCUGUGGGUAAAGGGUGCCACAAGCAUAAUGCAGGCCCUAGGUGUUUUGCAAGGAUAGCGUAUAACAUGGUAUCUUCCAUGUCUGUACUAUAAAUAAUUUUUUUUCUAAUCUGUCUUCCUAAUUUCUUUUUUUUGCAGACGCAAGCCUCUGGUGAACCACCAUCCUACACUGCCCUUGUCAGGGAGACACACUCCCGACCAGAUGGGACUUUUGUGGACUAUCGGGCUGAAGAACUGGUAACUCAGGCCGAGAUGGAAGCCACACAGCUCUCUAACACUGAAGGAUCACCAGGGAGUCCAAGUGCAUCAUCUGCUCCUUCUCGCCUCAUGUUAAACAAGGCUUAUCUGAAGGUAUGAUAGCUUAACAUUUUUAUUCUCAGACACUUUUAAUCUUCUGUUCUGUUUUGACAAUUGCAUUACAUGUGUUACCUGAGUUGAUCAAAUAGCCUUAUGUUAGUUUCUGUUUGCUCUUGCUUGGUUUUGAAUAUUUUUCCAUUUCUCUUGACAGAAUGCUAAGAGUAAGAGGGGAUAUGUUUACGGACUGGGCAGUGAACAAUUCAGGGAGCAUGCGCCUUCUUCACGCGUCCCCAAUGGUAUUGCCCGCAACCUGGACCUGGAGAUGCGUGUGGGCGGUCUUGAGACAACCCUCCAAAGUGUCACUUCUGAUGUUGCUGGGGUGAAACAGGACGUCUCAGACAUGAGGCAGGACUUUGCAGCAACAAGGGAAGCAAUCAAUCAGCUCCUCCAAACACUUAGGCCCCCGCAAGCACCUACUGGACAGACUUCUGAUCAUCAGGCUCAAGCACCAACUGGUCAGCCUAAUCCUCUCAAUGGCAUUUAGAAGUUGGUACUUUAUUUUAUAACCUCUUUUGUAACAAGGUCUUUUGAUAGUCUUCUUAGACUCAAAACUUUUAACCUUGUCUUAUGUAACUUUUUAUGAAUGUUGAACCUUGACUAUUUUGUAUAUUAAGCUCUGUGUUUAUUGAAUGUGCAAUUUUAAUAAUUUGAAUGAAUCUCUAAUAUGAAAAUUGGCUAAUUAAAACUAAUCAAACCGAAUGUUUUUCAAAACAGUGGAUACUAUAAAUGUUGAAUCUUAGUAGCUAAAUCGUGGCUAUAAUAACCACUGAAAAACAGUUUUAAACCGUGGCUAAUAGUGCCACGUCGAAUAAGUGGCAG